GUAAUCCCUAUCAAAAUUGCAACAGCCAUUACUGCAGAAGUAGAAAAGUCAAUUCAAAAAUUCAUAGGGAAAUGCAAGGGAUCCCAAACAGCCAAACCAAUCCUGAAAAAGAACGACAGAGUUGGAACACUCUCACUUCCCAAUUUCAAAACCUGCUACAAAACUAAAGUAAUUAAAACAGUGUGGUACUAGCAUAAGGAUAGACAUAGAGACUAAUGGAACAAAACAGAACAGCCCAGAAAUAAACCCAUACAUCUAGGGUCAACUGAUAUUGGACAAGGAUGCCAAGACCACUGAAUGGAGAAAGAAGAGUCUCGUCAACAAAGGUGCUAGGCGAAUUGUAUAUCCACGUGCAGAAGACUGAAGUUGGAUUCCUAUCUCACAUCACGUAAAAAAACUAACUGAAAAUGUGUGAUUAAGACCUAAAUAUAAGAGAGCUAAAAUUAUAAAAUCCUUAGAAGAAAAUAGAGAUGAAUCUUCAGAACUUUGGAUUUGGCAAAGAUUUCUUGGAUGGCAUCAAAUACAGAUACAACGAAAGAAAAAAUAGAUAACUUGGACUUCAUCAAAACUGAAGACUUCUGUGCAUCAAAGAACACAACCGAGAGAGUGAAAAGACAACCCACAGAAAGGGAAAAAAUACUCACAAAUCAUCUAUCUAAUAAGGGAUUAAUAUCCAGAACUUAUAAAUGACUCCUACAAAUAAACAAAAAAACCCAAACACCCUAAUUUAAAAUUGGGCAAAAGACUUCAACAGACAGUUCUUUAAAGAAGAUACAUAAACAGCCAAUAAGCACGUGAAAAGAUGCUAUACAUCAGUAAUCAUCAGUGAAAUACAAAUCAAAACCACAAUGAGAUAACACUUUACAUCCAUUAGGUUGGCUAUUAUCAGAAAAAUAAAAUAAAAAGCAUUGUUGGCAAGAAUGUGAAGAAACUGGAAUGCUUAUACAUUGCAGGGAAUGUAAAAUAGUACAGCUGCUGUAAAAAACGGUUUGUUGGUUCCUCAAGACAUUAAAGAUAGAAUUCCACUUCUAGGUGUACACCCAAAAGAACUGAAAGCAGGGACUCGAACAGACAUCUGUACACCACUGUUUACAACAGCACUACACACUAUACUCAAAAGAUAGAAACGAACCAAAUGUCCAUCAACAGAUGGAUGGAUAAACAUGGUAUAUACAUACAAUUAAUGGAAUAUUAUUCAGCCUUACAGAGGAAUUAAGUUCUGAUACAUGCUACAAAAUGGAUGAACUUUGAGGACAUUAUGCUAAGUUAAAUAAGCCAAACACAAAAGGACAAAUAUUGCACGAUUCCACUUAUAUAGAGGUAUCUAGAAAAGUCAAAUUCUCAGAGACAGAAAAUAGAGGGGUAGUUACCAGAGGUUUGG
Molecule: long non-coding RNA, 1381 nt
Filed under: Equus caballus (horse)
Lineage: Eukaryota; Metazoa; Chordata; Mammalia; Perissodactyla; Equidae
Description: lncRNA (ENSECAG00000056828.1)
Source: RNAcentral